GACGAACGCUGGCGGCGUGCUUAACACAUGCAAGUCGAACGGAAAGGCCCUGCUUUUGUGGGGUGCUCGAGUGGCGAACGGGUGAGUAACACGUGAGUAACCUGCCCUUGACUUUGGGAUAACUUCAGGAACCUGGGGCUAAUACCGGAUAGGAGCUCCUGCUGCAUGGUGGGGGUUGGAAAGUUUCGGCGGUUGGGGAUGGACUCGCGGCUUAUCAGCUUGUUGGUGGGGUAGUGGCUUACCAAGGCUUUGACGGGUAGCCGGCCUGAGAGGGUGACCGGCCACAUUGGGACUGAGAUACGGCCCAGACUCCUACGGGAGGCAGCAGUGGGGAAUAUUGCACAAUGGGCGGAGGCCUGAUGCAGCAACGCCGCGUGCGGGAUGACGGCCUUCGGGUUGUAAACCGCUUUCGCCUGUGACGAAGCGUGAGUGACGGUAAUGGGUAAAGAAGCACCGGCUAACUACGUG
Molecule: ribosomal RNA, 468 nt
Filed under: uncultured bacterium
Lineage: Bacteria
Description: partial 16S ribosomal RNA
Rfam family: Bacterial small subunit ribosomal RNA
Source: RNAcentral